UUUUUAUAGUUUAAAGAUUUUAUUAUAAAUUUAUUUUGCAUAUAAAUUUUAGUGUUAAUUAUUAACUAUUUUAAUAAUAUUUAAUAAAUACAAGUAGUAAUUAAUAUUAAAAAUUUAAGAAAUUAAGAUUUAGUAAUAUUUAAAUUAAUAACAAAUUUUGUGCCAGCAGUUGCGGUUAAACAAAAAUUAAAUUAAAAUUUAUUAGUAAUUAAUAAUUAAUAUUUUUUUAAUUAAAUAUUAAAUUAUAAGGUGAAAUUUUAAUUUAAUUAAAAUUAAAUUUUUAUUUAUGAUUUAAUAAAUUUUAUUUAUAAACUAGGAUUAGAUACCCUAUUAUUAAAAAUUUAAAUUUAUAAUACUAAAAUAGUAUAUAAUCAUUUAUUGAAACUUAAAUAAUUUGGCGGUAUUUUAGUUCAUUUAGAGGAAUCUGUUUAAUAAUUGAUAAUCCACGAAUAAAUUUACUUAAUUUAUUAUUUUGUAUAUCGUUGUUAUAAAAAUAUUUUAAAAUAAAAAUAAUAUUUAAAAAUUUAAAUAAAAAAUUAAAUCAGAUCAAGAUGCAGAUUAUAAUUAAGAAUAUAAUGGAUUACAAUGAAUUUAUUUAUAUGAAUAUUAAUUUGUAAAAAUUAAUUGAAAGUGGAUUUAAAUGUAAUUUUAUUUAAUUUAUUAAAAUGAUUAAAAAUUAAAAUAUGUACAUAUUGCCCGUCGCUUUCAUUAAUAAAUUGGAAUAAGUCGUAACAAAGUAGAGGUACUGGAAAGUGUUUCUAGAAA
Molecule: non-coding RNA, 765 nt
Filed under: Maruca vitrata
Lineage: Eukaryota; Metazoa; Arthropoda; Insecta; Lepidoptera; Crambidae
Source: RNAcentral